GAUGAACGCUGGCGGCGUGCCUAAUACAUGCAAGUCGAGCGAACAGACGAGGAGCUUGCUCCUUUGACGUUAGCGGCGGACGGGUGAGUAACACGUAGGUAACCUACCUAUAAGACUGGGAUAACUUCGGGAAACCGGAGCUAAUACCGGAUAAUAUUUCGAACCGCAUGGUUCGAUAGUGAAAGAUGGCUUUGCUAUCACUUAUAGAUGGACCUGCGCCGUAUUAGCUAGUUGGUAAGGUAACGGCCUGCCAAGGCAACGAUACGUAGCCGACCUGAGAGGGUGAUCGGCCACACUGGAACUGAGACACGGUCCAGACUCCUACGGGAGGCAGCAGUAGGGAAUCUUCCGCAAUGGGCGAAAGCCUGACGGAGCAACGCCGCGUGAGUGAUGAAGGUCUUCGGAUCGUAAAACUCUGUUAUUAGGGAAGAACAAACGUGUAAGUAACUGUGCACGUCUUGACGGUACCUAAUCAGAAAGCCACGGCUAACUACGUG
This 497-nucleotide ribosomal RNA is filed under the name uncultured bacterium. RNAcentral describes it as "partial 16S ribosomal RNA". It matches the Rfam family "Bacterial small subunit ribosomal RNA", at positions 28 to 507 of the family's 1533-position model. The record is from RNAcentral.